This 509-nucleotide ribosomal RNA is filed under the name Fusarium oxysporum. RNAcentral's name for it is "eukaryotic LSU rRNA". The stretch from base 171 to 324 matches the Rfam family "5.8S ribosomal RNA". Lineage: Eukaryota; Fungi; Ascomycota; Sordariomycetes; Hypocreales; Nectriaceae. The record is from RNAcentral.
UGCCUGCGGAGGGAUCAUUACCGAGUUAUACAACUCAUCAACCCUGUGAACAUACCUAAAACGUUGCUUCGGCGGGAACAGACGGCCCUGUAACAACGGGCCGCCCCCGCCAGAGGACCCCUAACUCUGUUUUUAUAAUGUUUUUCUGAGUAAACAAGCAAAUAAAUUAAAACUUUCAACAACGGAUCUCUUGGCUCUGGCAUCGAUGAAGAACGCAGCGAAAUGCGAUAAGUAAUGUGAAUUGCAGAAUUCAGUGAAUCAUCGAAUCUUUGAACGCACAUUGCGCCCGCCAGUAUUCUGGCGGGCAUGCCUGUUCGAGCGUCAUUACAACCCUCAGGCCCCCGGGCCUGGCGUUGGGGAUCGGCAGAAGCCCCCUGUGGGCACACGCCGUCCCUCAAAUACAGUGGCGGUCCCGCCGCAGCUUCCAUUGCGUAGUAGCUAACACCUCGCAACUGGAGAGCGGCGCGGCCAUGCCGUAAAACACCCAACUUCUGAAUGUUGACCUCCGU